AUUGAACGCUGGCGGCAGGCCUAAUACAUGCAAGUCGAGCGGACGAAGGGAGCUCUCUCCUGGAUUCAGUUGCGGACGGGCGAGUAAUGCCUAGGAAUCUGCCUGGCAGAUGAGGAUAACGUCCGUUCACGGGCGCUAAUACCGCAUCCGUUCUGAGGUUGAACGGGAUGGAUCUUUGGUCCACGCGCUAUUUGAUGACACUUAGUCGUAUUAGCUAGUUGGUGAGGUAAAGGCUUACCAAGGCGACGAUCCGUAACUGAUCUGAGAGGAUGAUCGGUCACACUGGAACUGAGACACGGUCCAGACUCCUACGGGAGGCAGCAGUAGGGAAUAUUCCGCAACGGGCGAAAGCCUGACGCAGCCAUGCCGCGUGAGUGAAGAAGGUCUUCGGAUCGUAAAACUCUGUUAGUUGGGAAGAAGAAAUGUAUAAGUAAAUAUGCCCGUUUUGACGGUACCUAAAGAGAAAGCCACGGCUAACUACGUG
RNAcentral lists this ribosomal RNA (484 nucleotides) under uncultured bacterium. RNAcentral describes it as "partial 16S ribosomal RNA". It matches the Rfam family "Bacterial small subunit ribosomal RNA", at positions 30 to 507 of the family's 1533-position model. The record is from RNAcentral.